GAAAACUGCUGCAAGUAUUCUCCUCCCACUGACUAGCCAAAGAAUUCUGCAGUAGAAAUUUUCUGACAUUCAAAUAUGCUCUUCAACUUUUGUUCCUUCCUUUCCUGUGCUGUGCCUGUGUUCUUUUUCACAUACAAGUAUCACCAGGUUUGGCAUUAUAAGCUACUUCCUCAUUGCUGCAUUGCUAAUUUGCCUGAACCUGGAAGAGACACUGUUGAGGACAACAGGACAUUUCUGCCUUCAUGCCAAUUUCCUGUCCCUGGGCUGAUAACCGAGUCUGCCAACACCAACUGGGAGGUGUCUUGUUCUUGUGGACCACUUGAGAUUAAACUAAAAUCUCAAACUUUCACUAGAGCACCCAAAGAAUUGUCAAAUGUGUUUUGGUGGCUCUCAACCUAGAUGACUUUAAGAUUCAAGAAACUAGAAUCAAGAUAUGCCCUCAUAAAGAGAAGACGAGCCAAAAGAAAUCUUCCCUGCUAAAUGAUAACAUUUUGUAGAAUGAAUUGUUAGCACUAAGGAAAAGUGCUUAGGAUUUAAAAUGGUCUUUCAUGUUUAUAAUACAACACAACUUAAGGGAAUGACAUGAUGCAAAGUGACACAUACAGUGCUGUGCAGAGUGCAUCACUUUGUGCAAAAUGGCUCCUUCGGGCUAGGAUGAAAGCUUCAUCUUUGUGAACAUCAUAAGCUGCAACAUCUGCUCAAAACUGUGGCAAAAAUGAUGUUAUUAGUUUUUACAGAAGGAAAUUCCUACCACCCAUAUGAAUUAUUUUGGUGAUUAUAUUCUCUCUCUUGAUGUGGAGGAUUUAAUGAGUGAUAAAAUGUCAUGUCAGUAACAAGUUUGAUAUUGCUACUUUUUAUGUAUGGGAGGACAAUUUUUUUUAACUUGCACCAUGGAUCCUAUUUUCUCAGCUUUUUGAAGCAAAUUAAGAUUUUGCAAUUACUGAAAGCUCUCUUCCCUCUCACCCCCAUCAAUUGUUUUUGUACCAGUUUUUGAAGGACCAACUGAUACUUCUUUAAAUGUCACAAUCAAACAGCUUCUGAUAAAA
This 1046-nucleotide long non-coding RNA is filed under the name Crocodylus porosus (Australian saltwater crocodile). RNAcentral's name for it is "lncRNA (ENSCPRG00005009755.1)". The record is from RNAcentral. Lineage: Eukaryota; Metazoa; Chordata; Crocodylia; Crocodylidae.